GAAGUAAUUAAAAGAUAAGAACUGAGCUGACAAUGCAAAAUGAAGAAACGGUGCGGAGAAGCAUAAGUAAAACGGUGCGUGCUGGAAAGAUCUAAAGCAGAGCAAGAGAUGGAUUCCCGCAUUUCUCAACAGAUCUAACAACAGAUAAGUUACGGCUAUAGUUUGUUAGAAACCCUUCCUUGCCUUGAAUUCAGCCUUGUUCUUUGCCAACCAUGACAUCCCCGGCGUCAAUCGCACUUCCUCGCCUCUUACUCACUUCCUCCAGCAGUCGAUAAGCCCUUCUGUAAUCACAAUUGUAGUCGACGGACGGUUAACAGAGAGAAGAAAUUGAAGUUUUGAAGCUUGAAGCUGCCUAUUGGAUAGCCCCAUCCAUGCACCAUCCCAUAGACUUGAAUGUUUGUCAUUCGCAUGCGAAGAGGCUUUAUAUGAAGACUGAAAUAAAUUACACCCUUUCUUCAAUGUCACGAGAACUCUAAAUUUUGACUGUCCAUGAAAGGUUUGUAUUAAAAUAUGAACGAGAUAAAAGAUUUUUCUCACAUUUCUAAGCUUAUAUUUUUGGAACAAUUGAUCAAUUAACAAUUCUGUUCCAGGGGGAGGAAUGGUGGUGCUUGUGAUAUUGUUAAUUACUAAUUAUUGGUAUUAAACUGAUAAGCAAGGGACGAGGAGUGUACAUGAUGCUUGAAAACUGAGGCAUGAGUAGGUGGCCUAAUGCAUAGACAAUGUUUAUUGAGUGGAAAUAGACAUUGCAUUGACAAUGGUUUACGC
This 765-nucleotide unclassified non-coding RNA is filed under the name Hevea brasiliensis (rubber tree). The record is from RNAcentral. Lineage: Eukaryota; Viridiplantae; Streptophyta; Magnoliopsida; Malpighiales; Euphorbiaceae.